CCACAUCACUUUGAAAUACCGGUUCCGUUUGAUCAUCGAAGUUAAGCAACGUCGAGCCUGGCCAGUUCCUAGAUGGAUGUCCGCUUGGGAAUAUCAGAUGCUGUA
Non-coding RNA from Acanthosepion pharaonis, 105 nucleotides. The record is from the annotation of a GenBank genome assembly. NCBI's taxonomy places the organism in Eukaryota, Metazoa, Mollusca, Cephalopoda, Sepiida, Sepiidae.